AUCUUAUAUAUGAUUAUGAGAUGUCAUCUUUAUUUUUAUGAAAUUGACACGUUGAUAAAAAAUACACAUGUAUUUUAUAAUGUAGCACUAGUUCUUGACCCAUGCUGGUCUUUAACGUACACCCCACCCCUACAAGAAUGAAAAUUUAGCACAAAAUGCAUCCAACACAAAUUCUUGAAUAGAUAGUUUCGAGAGAUAAAUUCAGUUAUUCUUGCCCCAGUUUCUUCUGUAUAGAUCUUCACAAUAUACAUAACAAGGAAUGUUAUGCAUUUCGUUAAACAUUAAUACAUAUGUAUAUUCUUUUAUGAAAAUGAAUAAUCUUGAGAGAACAAAAUAAGAUUACUAUAUAUAAACACAAUCGACAUGCAGGAAAAAAACAUAUACAAAAUUAACCAAAUAGGCAUUUUUAUAAAUAUUUCCUCUUGAUAAAAAUAAUUUCAUAUCUGUCAUUCCACCCGUUUCUUGCAGUUGGCCAAAUACAGAUUAGAGACCAAGAAGCCCUAUAAUAUAUUGUAUACUUCUAUACUGAGGUAGUAUCCUACUUCUACAAAUCCAAAAAUAGCUCCUCACACAAAUUUCAUACGCUACACAAUCCACUUUAUCAAUUACUUCUGCCAAAAUGUAUGUUUUCAGUUGUGUGUGUAUAUUUGUGUCGACAAGAUCACAUUAAAUACUGCAGUUCGAUUUUCACCUCAAUUUUGACAAAGACGGGCUUGAUGGCAGACAUGGGGGGGAUACAAUUUUUAACUGUGUGGAUGUGGAUGAGAUUUUGUGUUGUGGAGACAUUGUUUGGAAAAGUUGGAGAUAGAGAGAUAAACCUAAUAGAGCAGAUAAACUUUGUGUAGAUUAGAUGAAGGGAAUCUUGGUGGAGAAUUGUGGGUCUUCAAAAACUUGUUUUGUUUUUGUCAGGAGUUUAUCUUGUUCAGCAGGAAAAUUCCAUGAAAUGUGUCAUGAAAAUAAAUACUUCAUUCAAUGAGAUGGACCUUGUCAUAAGGUAUGAAGUAAAAAGCUCACAUGACCCAAUUUAAAAUUCUGAAAUGCCAUCUUGAUUGAAUGAAGCCCCAAUACAUUGGUCAAGCAAAUAUACUUUCCAAAAUAAAAAAAAGAAGCAAUGUUAGUAUACAAAAUGGGCUAUAUAUCAUUAAAAGCAAGAAAAUUCAACACAGUAACUUAUUGCAAAUCACAGUAUAAAACAUUAAACAAUAAGUACUGACCAAAUGCUAAAUAGUCAAGACACAUCCAAAAGUACGAUACACAUGACUAGUUGUAUGGCAAAUGAAGAAAGGUGAAUGGGCUGUGGGGCCCUUUAAUGCUAUCACAUUUAUUUACAGGUGAAAACAAUCUGUUGUCACUUUCAUUUUCUGAUGAAAUUUUUAUGACAACCAUCUUUUUAAAAAAGAAACCAGUUAGCAACUGAAUUCAUCAUCAGUCAAUUUUCCAUGAUAAAUAACAGAAAAAUCAUGAUUCUUUAAGGGAGCAAAGAUCAUUGCAAAGCACAUCAGUCGUCAUGGGAAACAGAUUGCGACAUUUUGCGUGAUUUUUUAGCAUCUGACAAAAACAUUUAGCACAGGUCAAGCUCAAUCUAUCUCUGUUUUAAUCAAUUCCUCAAGUACUGAGGUACUCCACUCAAUCAAUACAUAAAUCUUGAUAUACUGAAUUGAUAAAGCAGUUUUAAUACAGCAAGCUUAGAGACACGGAAAGCUGAUGAUGAGAUUCUAGCAGUGUUCUAGGAUACAACCCAUUUCACAGGCACAACAUAUCCUCAAUAUCUCUAAAGAAAGCAAACUGGAAUGGUAAAUGUAUGAUGUUUAAAACAACAAUGUGAUUAUCAUUCAAUAUUCUAACAAUGACCCUUUCUCAGGUACGUUAAUAUCUACUUUUUGAAUUCUAUUGGUGCCCACCUUUUAUCUUUGUGAAAGUUUUUACGAGUACGAUGAAG
Long non-coding RNA from Ostrea edulis (European flat oyster), 1939 nucleotides. RefSeq lists it as uncharacterized. Lineage: Eukaryota; Metazoa; Mollusca; Bivalvia; Ostreida; Ostreidae. The transcript is spliced from 2 exons. The record is from RefSeq and is a predicted model, not a curated record.